UGGGGAAUUUUGGACAAUGGGCGAAAGCCUGAUCCAGCAAUGCCGCGUGUGUGAAGAAGGCCUUCGGGUUGUAAAGCACUUUUGUCCGGAAAGAAAUCCUUGGCUCUAAUACAGUCGGGGGAUGACGGUACCGGAAGAAUAAGCACCGGCUAACUACGUGCCAGCAGCCGCGGUAAUACGUAGGGUGCAAGCGUUAAUCGGAAUUACUGGGCGUAAAGCGUGCGCAGGCGGUUUGCUAAGACCGAUGUGAAAUCCCCGGGCUCAGCCUGGGAACUGCAUUGGUGACUGGCAGGCUAGAGUAUGGCAGAGGGGGUAGAAUUCCACGUGUAGCAGUGAAAUGCGUAGAGAUGUGGAGGAAUACCGAUGGCGAAGGCAGCCCCCUGGGCCAAUACUGACGCUCAUGCACGAAAGCGUGGGGAGCAAACAGGAUUAGAUACCCUGGUAGUCCACGCCCUAAACGAUGUCAACUAGUUGUUGGGGAUUCAUUUCCUUAGUAACGUAGCUAACGCGUGAAGUUGACCGCCUGGGGAGUACGGUCG
This 539-nucleotide ribosomal RNA is filed under the name uncultured bacterium. Its description in RNAcentral is "partial 16S ribosomal RNA". It matches the Rfam family "Bacterial small subunit ribosomal RNA", at positions 355 to 888 of the family's 1533-position model. The record is from RNAcentral.